This 1715-nucleotide long non-coding RNA is filed under the name Lynx pardinus (Iberian lynx). Lineage: Eukaryota; Metazoa; Chordata; Mammalia; Carnivora; Felidae. The record is from RNAcentral.
UGGGUGAUAGAAGCUUUUUGCUCUGUUUUUAUUUUUGGAGAGGAGCGCCCUGUAAUUGUCCUAAACACAUGCUUCUCUCUCCACCCCCCCCCUUCUUCCUCCAGCCACCAACGGAGGAGAGAGUCCCCCUUUUUUGCAUUUAUCUUUUCCUUCCCCUUUCUUUAUUAAAGGUCCGGGAGUGGCGGCGCCCAAUCAGCGCGCGGCUUCCAUUUUGUGAGUUCAACUCCGAGGCUCCCGGGCUUCGCGAGGACGCAUUUGCAGCCCCCUCUGCCUGUCCUCUCGGGCGGCCGAGGCGAAGGAGCCGCCUUUCUGGGGCUUCGUGGUGGUGUAUUUCAUAUUGGGGCUCUUUUCGGGGUUUGUAAUUUGGCCGUGGGUAGGUAAUUGGCUGGAGCAGGGCGGCAGGGCGCGGCAGCCAAUCAGCGCGCGGCUUCUAUAGGGCUUGAGUUAUUAGACGCUGAUCUCAAAACAUCGUUCAUCAGACACCAAGGAGAGGCCAACAGAUGAGGGGAGCCAUUUUUCUGCAAUGGAAUUAAAUGGCCAAGUGGGUUUUUCCUUUGUUGCAAAUGGGGAAUGCUUUUCCUUUGACUCCACCAUCCAGUUCAGGACGCCUCAGUGUUGUGUUUAACAUUUGUCAACAGGCUAAAGGACUCACAAUUGGAAGAAUGAAGAAGACUUUUUAAAAAGAUCUGGAUUUUUCCUUAUGACUUGGAAUCCAUCUUUGUCUUGUAUAACUAGGUCAUAGCACACCAUUAAUGUCAGCAGUUAACAAUUUUGAAUUCCAAAAAACCUAAGUAAAUGACAUAUUUAAUUUUUUUCCUCUUUUUUUUCUUGGGUGGGUGGGGGGAGCUUGGAGCUGUCUUAAUCUGUAUUCUCUUGACUGAACAAUAAAUUUUUAAAUAUAUAUAGUUUCCUCUAUUAAACACUUAAACCUGGCCAUCUUAUUAACUCCUUCUGCUCUCUUUUUAACAAGGUAAUGUUUUAAAUGUAUAGUUUUAGGACUAGCGAAAUGGCAGCAACAAAAAAUUGUAAGCAGUUGUUACUUUUAAGCUUUUAAAAAACCUUUUACGUUGUAAGUACCCAAUCCAUUCUGUCCUUACGCAGUGCAGUUUUCAUGUUAAUGUUGCUGAGAUGUCCUUAAUUUUCUGAACCUUCAUCUGCAUGUAUGUCUUUGUCGCUCUUGUCUAAUAUAAGCCAGUUAAAAUGCUUUUAGACGAUUUUGCUUUUAUAAAGCUAAGGUUUUUUAGCUUUAAGCUUUUGAAAAUGUUUAAAGCAAUAAAUGCUAGUCAGCUUUCUUCCCAGUAACAUGUACACGUUCUUUGAAAAUCGAUCUAUUUGAAGAAAAACAGCUCUGUUUUUCUCGUCUUGGUAGGGGGGUGGGUGAGGGAAAGGAAGACCUUCUCUUUGUGUACAGAGUCUAAAGCCGUCACAGGAAACUAGAUUAAAACUGGAAAACAAGUCCUAGCUGGUUGGAGCCAAACACCAACGUUAACUCGCGGGUAUUUUCUAUGGUGGUUGGGAUGGCCGUGCGUCUUUUGCCUUUUGUUUGAUUUGACUGUGUAUUUUCGCCUUUUGUCUCUUAAUGACGAUCACACCAUUGCUAUAUCCAGAGCAGUAAACAGUCCUCAGCGAAGCCGCCUUUUGCCAACCCAACCCUGGAAAGUUUGCAGAAGUGGAAGGAGCAGAAAAUGCCAUGAGAGUGUAACUUACAAAAAGGU